RNA transcript from Chroicocephalus ridibundus (black-headed gull), 2416 nucleotides. It is a transcript of the gene named cryptochrome DASH-like, with no coding region annotated. The record is from RefSeq and is a predicted model, not a curated record. NCBI's taxonomy places the organism in Eukaryota, Metazoa, Chordata, Aves, Charadriiformes, Laridae. The transcript is spliced from 13 exons.
ACUGAGGGAGGACAGGGUCGGGCUGGGCUGUGGGGGCCGGGUUGAGGGAGGACGGAGCCGGGCCGGGUGAGGUGGGACCGGCCCCGUCGAGGCAGCAUGUCGGGAGCGGCGAGGACGGCCAUCUGCCUGCUGCGCUGCGAUCUGCGCGCCCACGAUAACCAGGUGCUCCACUGGGCUCAGGGCAACGCGGAUUUCAUUAUUCCCCUCUACUGCUUCGACCCACGGCACUACCUGGGCACCCACUGCUACGGCUUCCCGAAGACGGGGCCCCAUCGGCUCAGGUUUUUGCUGGAAAGUGUGAAGGAUCUAAGGGAAACGCUCAAGAAAAAAGGAAGUACCCUCGUUGUGAGGAAGGGGAAGCCGGAAGAUGUGGUCCGUGAUCUCAUUUCUCAGUUGGGCUCUGUCAGUGCUUUGGCUUUCCAUGAAGAGGCCACGCAGGAGGAGCUGGAUGUGGAGAAGGGGCUGUGCCAGGUGUGUAGUCAGCACGGGGUGAAGAUCCAGACAUUCUGGGCAUCCACGCUGUAUCAUCGGGACGACCUUCCCUUCAGGCCUAUUUCCAGGUUGCCCGAUGUCUACACUCAUUUCCGAAAAGCGGUGGAAUCUGAGGCGCGGGUCCGGCCAACCCUGCGAAUGGCAGAUCAGCUAAGGCCUCUGGCUCCAGGGGUGGAAGAAGGGUGUAUCCCUACAAUGGAGGAUUUGGGACAGAAGGACGCUGUGACUGAUCCACGAACAGCCUUCCCCUGCAGUGGAGGAGAGACCCAGGCUUUAAUGAGACUGCAGUAUUAUUUUUGGGACACGAACCUGGUUGCAUCCUACAAGGAGACUCGGAAUGGACUGGUGGGAAUGGAUUACUCAACCAAAUUUGCACCAUGGCUGGCGCUGGGCUGCAUUUCACCUCGAUACAUCUAUGAGCAGAUCCAGAAGUAUGAAAAAGAGAGAACGGCAAAUCAGAGCACAUACUGGGUCCUGUUUGAACUGCUGUGGCGGGAUUACUUUCGAUUUGUGGCCCUGAAGUAUGGCAAAAGGAUUUUCUCAUUAAGAGGCCUUCAAAGUAAAGAAGUCCCCUGGAAGAAGGACCUUCAGCUCUUUGACUGUUGGAAAGAGGGCAAAACAGGGGUUCCUUUUGUCGAUGCCAACAUGCGAGAGCUGGCUGCGACCGGCUUCAUGUCUAACAGAGGGCGGCAGAAUGUUGCCAGCUUUCUCACCAAGGACCUGGGUCUGGACUGGAGGAUGGGGGCAGAAUGGUUCGAAUACCUGCUGGUGGAUUACGAUGUUUGUAGCAAUUACGGCAACUGGUUAUACAGCGCUGGUAUUGGCAACGACCCACGGGACAACAGGAAGUUUAACAUGAUUAAACAAGGCCUGGAUUACGAUGGCAAUGUAAGUCUUGUUUGCCUGUCUUAUAAAGAAGAGUGCAGCAAAGCACAUGUGGUAGUUUCAGGGAGCAGAGGAGAUCAAUCUGCUGUGUGGAUACUGCUGCAAAAACACUUCUGCGAUCUCCUCGCCAACAGUCAGGCAGGUUCCUCGUUGUUGUACAGGAAGAUCUGACGUUUACAAUCUGCUGCUCUCCCCAAAGAGGCUGGUGCUCUGUACGCCCUCCCUGCCCUGCCCAUGGUCUGUGUGUUUAGUGUUUCAUCACCGUUUCUUCCGGGUAACAGCCACAUCCCAUCCGUAUCUCACAUUUCCUUGGGCGCAGAGCAGCUUGUCGGAGGACUCGAAAGUGACAGGAGAGACUGAGCUGCUCACGUGGUGCCUCGGGAGGUCCUGGAGAGUAGAUUAAACCUGUGACUCCUCUGAUUGUCCUCUGUAAGUGGUGGGAGCAGCUAAAUCGCCCUUUCCAUGUGCUUAGCCAGUGUUCACAUGCCAAAUUACCUGUUUCCCCCCUAUUCCUUAGCUUCAUGGCAAGCCGCGGUGUUGCCUUUCAGCACAGUAGCUGGCAGGACUUAGCAAGGAGUCGGAAAUUAGUCCUAGUAGGGGACACAGCAGUAGAGUUAGUGGGAGAUUUGGGGGCAGGGGGGUUCAUCUUGCCCAGCACAGAGGUGGGUGUGCAGCUGACCGAGGAACCCUAGUUUCCUUUACAGUCACUGGAAAGAAAAAGGGACUUCUUGGGAGUGACUUCAUCUCACUAUGUCCUAAAUAGGGCAGGUGAACUGUACCAGAAAAGCACCUCUGCCUCCCCUUGCUGCCUGCAGAGUGAGCCUGGGAGAGGAGCUCCAGUAUCUAUGUCUCUGUGUUUAAGCGCUAAUUCUCAGCAGAGGGUUUAGCGGGAGGGGCCGAGACUCGGCAGAGGGGGAUUAUGUCCGGCUGUGGCUCCCAGAACUACAGGGCAUAAAGGGUGCAGAUAUUCACACCCCUUGGGCACUGAACAGUGCUGCUCUCUCCCAGGCCGGAGUAACUCUAGGCGAGACCUACCCAC